Small nuclear RNA from Echinops telfairi (small Madagascar hedgehog), 192 nucleotides. Its record names the gene U2. It matches the Rfam family "U2 spliceosomal RNA". Rfam says of the family: U2 is a small nuclear RNA (snRNA) component of the spliceosome (involved in pre-mRNA splicing). Complementary binding between U2 snRNA (in an area lying towards the 5' end but 3' to hairpin I) and the branchpoint sequence (BPS) of the intron results the bulging out of an unpaired adenosine, on the BPS, which initiates a nucleophilic attack at the intronic 5' splice site, thus starting the first of two transesterification reactions that mediate splicing. The record is from Ensembl. NCBI's taxonomy places the organism in Eukaryota, Metazoa, Chordata, Mammalia, Afrosoricida, Tenrecidae.
AUAGUUUCUCGGCCUUUUGGUUAAGAUCAAGUGUAGUAUAUGUUCUUUAUCAGUUUAAUAUCAGAUACAUCCUCUAUCUGAGGACAAAAUAUUAAAUGGAUUUUUGGAGCAGGGAGAUGGAAUAGGAGCUUGCUUCAUCCACUCCAUGUAUUGACCUGGUAUUUCGGUACCUCUAGGAACAGCGCACACAUC